UACGUAGGGUGCAAGCGUUGUCCGGAAUCAUUGGGCGUAAAGCGCGCGUAGGCGGCCCGAUAAGUCCGCUGUAAAAGUCAACGGCUCAACUGUUGAAAGCCGGUGGAUACUGUCGGGCUAGAGUACGGAAGAGGCGAGUGGAACUCCUGGUGUAGCGGUGGAAUGCGCAGAUAUCAGGAAGAACACCGACGGCGAAGGCAGCUCGCUGGGACGGUACUGACGCUGAGGUGCGAAAGCGUGGGGAGCAAACAGG
RNAcentral lists this ribosomal RNA (253 nucleotides) under uncultured bacterium. RNAcentral's name for it is "partial 16S ribosomal RNA". It matches the Rfam family "Bacterial small subunit ribosomal RNA", at positions 524 to 776 of the family's 1533-position model. The record is from RNAcentral.